GGAGUGAAGAAUCUCUGGAUUAGUGGCGGACGGGUGAGUAACGCGUGAGCAAUCUGCCUUACACAAAGGGAUAGCCUCGGGAAACCGGGAUUAAUACCAUAUGAUAUCUAUUAACCGCAUGGUUUAUAGAUUAGAGAAUUUCGGUGUAAGAUGAGCUCGCGUCCCAUUAAUUAGUUGGUGAGGGUAACGGCCCACCAAGAUAGCGAUGGGUAGCCGAUCUAAGAGGAUGACCGGCCACAUUGGAACUGAGAAACGGUCCAAACUCCUACGGGAGGCAGCAGUGGGGAAUAUUGCACAAUGGGGGAAACCCUGAUGCAGCGACGCCGCGUGAGCGAUGAAGGCUUUCGAGUCGUAAAGCUCUGUCCUAUGGGAAGAUAAUGACGGU
RNAcentral lists this ribosomal RNA (385 nucleotides) under uncultured bacterium. RNAcentral's name for it is "bacterial SSU rRNA". It matches the Rfam family "Bacterial small subunit ribosomal RNA", at positions 73 to 458 of the family's 1533-position model. The record is from RNAcentral.